GUGCCAGCCGCCGCGGUAAUACGAAAGGUGCAAGCGUUAAUCGGAAUUACUGGGCGUAAAGGGCGCGUAGGCGGCGCGUUCAGUCGGCUGUGAAAGCCCCGGGCUCAACCCGGGAAUUGCAUCCGAUACUGGCGUGCUAGAGUGCAGUAGAGGGAGGUAGAAUUCCAGGUGUAGCGGUGAAAUGCGUAGAGAUCUGGAGGAAUACCAGUGGCGAAGGCGGCCUCCUGGACUGACACUGACGCUGAGGCGCGAAAGCGUGGGUAGCAAACAGGAUUAGAAACCCGAGUAGUCC
RNAcentral lists this ribosomal RNA (292 nucleotides) under uncultured bacterium. RNAcentral's name for it is "partial 16S ribosomal RNA". It matches the Rfam family "Bacterial small subunit ribosomal RNA", at positions 505 to 796 of the family's 1533-position model. The record is from RNAcentral.